Pelobates cultripes (western spadefoot toad) is the source of this 236-nucleotide non-coding RNA. The record is from the annotation of a GenBank genome assembly. Lineage: Eukaryota; Metazoa; Chordata; Amphibia; Anura; Pelobatidae.
UCGGGACAUCAUUACUUGGCAUUCAAUCUUUGGAGGUUGCUUGUGGAAUUUAUACUACUUACAUACAUAUGAUUAUCUGAUCGUAUGAUUUAAUUCUAACUGAUACAUGAGAAAAGCGUAAUUCUGUAAAGGUAACCAGUUUGUGGCCUUCCAAUUGUGAAAAAAUAGAAAUAUAUAUUUUCUAUGGUAUUGUGUUCAUCACAAGAGACUAUGCAAAAGUGUAUAAUAAAUCAUGC